Molecule: regulatory RNA element, 167 nt
Organism: Mesotoga prima MesG1.Ag.4.2
Lineage: Bacteria; Thermotogati; Thermotogota; Thermotogae; Kosmotogales; Kosmotogaceae
Rfam family: Lysine riboswitch aptamer
About the family: Riboswitches are metabolite binding domains within certain messenger RNAs that serve as precision sensors for their corresponding targets. Allosteric rearrangement of mRNA structure is mediated by ligand binding, and this results in modulation of gene expression.
Source: Rfam
UUACCCAACGGAGGAGCACCCGAGAUGAGUAGACGUCCAUCAGGGAAUCGGGACGGAUCGAAAGGCGAGGGUGCCGAAGAAGGCGGAAGCCCCAGCGACCGACUUCUGGGCAUACGGGAAAUACCUGUAUGACUGUCACGAAGAAUGCGUGGAGAGCCGGUGGGUUG